RNAcentral lists this ribosomal RNA (305 nucleotides) under uncultured bacterium. RNAcentral's name for it is "bacterial SSU rRNA". It matches the Rfam family "Bacterial small subunit ribosomal RNA", at positions 338 to 639 of the family's 1533-position model. The record is from RNAcentral.
CCUACGGGGCGCAGCAGUGAGGAAUAUUGGUCAAUGGCCGGAAGGCUGAACCAGCCAAGUCGCGUGAGGGAAUAAGGCCCUAUGGGUCGUAAACCUCUUUUGUCAGGGAGCAAAGGCGUCCACGUGUGGACGAGAGGAGAGUACCUGAAGAAAAAGCAUCGGCUAACUCCGUGCCAGCAGCCGCGGUAAUACGUAGGGGGCAAGCGUUAUCCGGAUUCACUGGGCGUAAAGGGAGCGCAGGCGGCACGGCAAGUCUGAUGUGAAAACCCGGGGCUCAACCCCGGGACUGCAUUGGAAACUGCCGG